Oncorhynchus keta (chum salmon) is the source of this 689-nucleotide long non-coding RNA. RefSeq lists it as uncharacterized. Lineage: Eukaryota; Metazoa; Chordata; Actinopteri; Salmoniformes; Salmonidae. The record is from RefSeq and is a predicted model, not a curated record. The transcript is spliced from 4 exons.
AAUAUAAAUUGCACUAGAAUGAUACAUUUAUGGAUUUUCAUUAAGGUAUUGUUUUCACUUCAUUCAACCCGCCUACCAGACACCCGCCCUUCAUCCACACAGUAUUUCAUGACCCUAAACACACAGAUUUAACCGUGGGGACUGCAGAUGAAACCCACACAUCACUAGUUGGUACCGCAACACUGUUACUAUCUAUUAGGUUGGUACCCCAACACUGUUACUAUCCAUUAGGUUGGUACCCCAACACUGUUACUAUCCAUUCUACCAUUAGGUUGGUACCCCAACACUGUUACUAUCCAUUCUACCAUUAGGUUGGUACCCCAACACUGUUACUAUCCAUUAGGUUGGUACCCCAACACUGUUACUAUCCAUUCUACCAUUAGGUUGGUACCCCAACACUGUUACUAUCCAUUCUACCAUUAGGUUGGUACCCCAACACUGUUACUAUCCAUUCUACCAUUAGGUUGGUACCCCAACACUGUUACUAUCCAUUCUACCAUUAGGUUGGUACCCCAACACUGUUACUAUCCAUUAGGUUGGUACCCCAACACUGUUACUAUCCAUUCUACCAUUAGGUUGGUACCCCAACACUGUUACUAUCCAUUCUACCAUUAGGUUGGUACCCCAACACUGUUACUAUCCAUUCUACCAUUCGGUUGGUACCCCAACACUGUUACUAUCCAUUCUAC